This 223-nucleotide unclassified non-coding RNA is filed under the name Ambisporaceae sp. RNAcentral describes it as "partial contains 5.8S ribosomal RNA and internal transcribed spacer 2". The stretch from base 1 to 71 matches the Rfam family "5.8S ribosomal RNA", at positions 84 to 154 of the family's 154-position model. Lineage: Eukaryota; Fungi; Glomeromycota; Glomeromycetes; Archaeosporales; Ambisporaceae. The record is from RNAcentral.
GUGAAUCAUCAAAUUUUUGAACGCAUAUGGCACUCUCUGGUAUUCCGGAGAGUAUGCCUAUUUGGGGGUCAUUUGAAAUAAUAUAAAUUUUGAGAUUUUUCUGGCAUCAAAAUUGGGACGGUCCAGCUUUCGUGUGGUGGUAGCCUAAAAUGAAAGACAAGCUCUUUUCUUGGGUUGCGUGAUAUUUUUAGUUAACUCGUGACUUGACAUGGAAUCUUCGAGC